This 104-nucleotide unclassified non-coding RNA is filed under the name Penicillium sp. YM3II. RNAcentral describes it as "partial ITS2". The record is from RNAcentral. Lineage: Eukaryota; Fungi; Ascomycota; Eurotiomycetes; Eurotiales; Aspergillaceae.
CUGCCCUCAAGCACGGCUUGUGUGUUGGGUGUGGCCCGCCUCUUCUGUAGGGGGGCCUGCCCGAAAGGCAGCGGCGACGUCGCGUCUGGUCCUCGAGCGUAUGG